GUUCCUGGCUCAGGAUGAACGCUAGCUACAGGCUUAACACAUGCAAGUCGAGGGGCAGCAUGACCUAGCAAUAGGUUGAUGGCGACCGGCGCACGGGUGAGUAACACGUAUCCAACCUACCGGUUAUUCCGGGAUAGCCUUUCGAAAGAAAGAUUAAUACCGGAUAGUAUAACGAGAAGGCAUCUUCUUGUUAUUAAAGAAUUUCGAUAACCGAUGGGGAUGCGUUCCAUUAGUUUGUUGGCGGGGUAACGGCCCACCAAG
RNAcentral lists this ribosomal RNA (261 nucleotides) under uncultured bacterium. RNAcentral describes it as "partial 16S ribosomal RNA". It matches the Rfam family "Bacterial small subunit ribosomal RNA", at positions 15 to 272 of the family's 1533-position model. The record is from RNAcentral.